AGCUGAGAGAAUGAGAGUGCCAAGCCUUGGAGAUCUGCUUCGGAGGUCAUCUUUCAGACAUGCACCGCUGCUGUCCGUCCAGGAUCCUCCGGUUGCCCAGAUGUUGCACGAUGCUAAGCUGUCACAGCAGACCAUCCUGCAGGCCUCUGGUCUCAGUGUUUCCAGUGAUCUCACAGCUUCAGGAUGACCAGAGACCUUCACCUUUCUGGAGCAGGAACACCCGGCCAAAUGCACUGGUGACACAUUUAAUUUAAAAAAUGUGGCUGUUCUUAUAGCAUUGAUAUGCAAGAACCAUCUACUGUUUUUAAUAAUAAAAAAUAUAUAUAUUAUGAAAUCUGUGUUCCUUCUCAUCUGUGUAGUUCUAAUUUAAUCAAAUCUCAUGUUUUCACAUCCCAGAGACAAUAAGAUGGAUAGUUUGUUUGUGGCUUUAACCCAUUCAUUCCAAAUUUUUCCCAAACAUGUAAAUAUGAAAAUCCGAUGUCAUUGAUAGCCCUUUGAACUAAUCAGGGAAAUAAUUUUAAAAAUUGUG
Molecule: long non-coding RNA, 529 nt
Organism: Poecilia latipinna (sailfin molly)
Lineage: Eukaryota; Metazoa; Chordata; Actinopteri; Cyprinodontiformes; Poeciliidae
Exons: 2
Source: RefSeq, a predicted model, not a curated record